Long non-coding RNA from Haliotis rubra (blacklip abalone), 472 nucleotides. RefSeq lists it as uncharacterized. The record is from RefSeq and is a predicted model, not a curated record. NCBI's taxonomy places the organism in Eukaryota, Metazoa, Mollusca, Gastropoda, Lepetellida, Haliotidae. The transcript has 3 exons.
UUUGUACUAGUUCUAGUGAAUGUGGCAACGGCGGGACAUGCAUCACAAGUAGUAGUCCCUACGCGUGUUCUUGUGCACCUGGGUACUCAGGCCUGACAUGCCAAAACGCUGUUCUGCACUGUUAACGCAGAUUGUAUAAACGGGGGGACAUGUGCAAACGAUAACACAUGUAUAUGUCCAGCUGGAUAUACAGGCGGAAAGUGUGAAAAUGGAACUGGACGUGCUACCAUCCUGGCAACAACUCUACUACUGUCCUUCGUCAUCAGUGUUUCAGUGUAAACACCGCAGUCAGCACAGAUGUUUCUUACGUCCCUGGUUGGUUAAUCUACAGUAAAUACGGCUGAGAUAUGUGGUGAAAAUACGGUACCAAAGAUGAUCAAAUAUAUUGCAUAGACCAGUGAGGUAUAGCCUUAUCCUUGGCUUUUGGAAGAAUAUCAACAUUGACGUCAUUAAUGAAUUAUUUUGUAUUCUC